This is a long non-coding RNA of Neofelis nebulosa (Clouded leopard), 489 nucleotides long. RefSeq lists it as uncharacterized. The record is from RefSeq and is a predicted model, not a curated record. Lineage: Eukaryota; Metazoa; Chordata; Mammalia; Carnivora; Felidae. The transcript is spliced from 3 exons.
CGAGGGCUGGGCCUGCGCGCGCGCUUCCGCAGCGUGCUGUGCGUGCUAUGCGUGCAUGCGUGCCUGGUGCGCGCGCACGCAUCGUAGGCGGGAAUCCCAGGCCCGCCCUCCUUCCGCCUUGGCGGCUUCCUCCCUCCUGAGAGCUCUGUCCGCCAACGGUGCGGCUGCUCAGAGGGGAGUCUGACACCAUGAGAGGUUAAGAAACUAAUCAAGAUCAUAACAGCAAAAACAGGGCAGAGCCAAAUUUGGAACCCAGUAUUUUAUAACUCCAAAUCUAAAAGAACUUGCAGCCACUGACCAGACCCCUUUCAAUUAUGUCAGGGAAACUGAGUAAGCUGGUUGUUACACAUUUACCGGGACACCGCCGCUCAUCUCCCCUCUCAAUGAUCAGGUGAUGCAAGAGGGAAAAGCCUGAGACGGAUUCACAAAUGGCUCGAUUGGGUUUGUUGGUGAAAGCUGGAAAUGAACAGAGGCUGCACUGCCGCCUCA